Long non-coding RNA from Gasterosteus aculeatus aculeatus (three-spined stickleback), 1408 nucleotides. Lineage: Eukaryota; Metazoa; Chordata; Actinopteri; Perciformes; Gasterosteidae. The record is from Ensembl.
CGCAGAUGACAGGCCGGUCAUGCCCGGUUGGCUGCACACCUCCAUCUGCGUUACGGCUCCGGUACUCGCACGCCGUGUGUUCCCCGGGAAACACUGCUGCACGGACAAAAAUGGAGGCGGCGCCGGCGGCGUGAUGGUGCAACUGUGACGGAGGGAAAUGACUCGUUGAAGUUCUGUGAAAACACUCCAAGUAAAACCCAUGAGUUCCAGCUGAGAGCGUCAUCUAAACAUCUGCCCGGAGGAUUCAGGACCAAGCGUCUCUGCGGAGAAAUGGCCUCCUCAGACCAGAGCAGAUACCCACCCGUCUGCAGACUCACUCCCUCCUCCGUGCACAAACGCACAAACCACAAACACGCACCAGACAGCCGCCGUCUGGCUGCUCGCAGGUUGACUUUGAGGGGUCCCCCCCCCCCUGACUGAUGUAUUGGACAGGACAUGAAUGGGAUUACGAGGCGCUUUGGCUGCCGCCGAAAAGACCAGAGAGAAAUAUUUCUCAAAAAAUUCUCCUGAAACUGAAGAGGUGAACACAAAGGGCUACAAGGAGGAGAGUUUGAUCUGAAUCCCGUAUCCUGUUGUUUUCAACGUGACUAAAUGAAUCCACAGGAUUACUCUUGUGUCUGGAUUACAUUCCGUGUUUGUGUAGGGGGCAGGCUGGGUAAUGACAUGUGAGAGACUAAUGGGUUGGUACGAAAGCCCACAACACACAGACCUUUUGAAUUGGUUUAUGUCAUCAAAAAAAAAACAUGGAAAGUAUGCUAAGGGGAAAAUAUGACUGUGUGUGUGUGUAUGUGCAUCUGAGGGUGUGAGAGUGUGUGUCUUUCUCAAUAUUUAUACCUUUGGGUGAGAUUUGCCUCUUUGGCGGCCCAGGUAGCUUUUCUUCGUUUUUACCGAACGCGUAAACACACACACACACACACACACACACACACACAGACGCGCGCGUUGAGACCUAAAAGUGUGUCUGGGUGUGUUUUGUAUCGUUUGUAAUGCAUCACUGUCCUCACGCUCUCUCCCCAUGGAACGUUCCCAGAGGACACCGUAGGUUGUUGUUGGAAUAAUCCCCAUCGGGCAUUAACAAGUAGCUGUGAGACAAAUGGAAGAGAGAAGUGUGAGAAUUGGAAUAUUUUUAUCUCAACUUUUCUGUCAGUUGUUCGGCGCGAGUUUCGCGACUUUAUCGAGGCUUUCAAAAAUGAAUUGAUAAGUGUUUUGGUUUGCACGGGUAAAGGUGACACAUGUGUUGUUUUCUCUUUUUAGCUGCUCCCAAAUGGCCAACAAAUAAUUCGCAUUACCUUUUUAUAAACGGGCAUGAAUUGACUUCACUUCUUGUUAGCAUGUCCUGCUCUUGUUAGGCCUAAAAUGUGCUCAAAGCCAUUGACUCAAACUAAAACUUGCAUGUUUUCUUUUUUCC